This 504-nucleotide ribosomal RNA is filed under the name uncultured bacterium. Its description in RNAcentral is "partial 16S ribosomal RNA". It matches the Rfam family "Bacterial small subunit ribosomal RNA", at positions 30 to 523 of the family's 1533-position model. The record is from RNAcentral.
AUUGAACGCUGGCGGCAGGCCUAACACAUGCAAGUCGAACGGUAGCACAGAGAGCCUGCUCUCGGGUGACGAGUGGCGGACGGGUGAGUAAUGUCUGGGAAACUGCCCGAUGGAGGGGGAUAACUACUGGAAACGGUAGCUAAUACCGCAUAACGUCGCAAGACCAAAGUGAGGGACCUUCGGGCCUCACACCAUCGGAUGUGCCCAGAUGGGAUUAGCUAGUAGGUGGGGUAAUGGCUCUCCUAGGCGACGAUCCCUAGCUGGUCUGAGAGGAUGACCGGCCACACUGGAACUGAGACACGGUCCAGACUCCUACGGGAGGCAGCAGUGGGGAAUAUUGGACAAUGGGCGCAAGCCUGAUGCAGCCAUGCCGCGUGUAUGAAGAAGGCCUUCGGGUUGUAAAGUACUUUCAGCGGGGAGGAAGGCGGUGAAGUUAAUAACUUCACCGAUUGACGUUACCCGCAGAAGAAGCACCGGCUAACUCCGUGCCAGCCGCCGCCGUAA